RNAcentral lists this ribosomal RNA (460 nucleotides) under uncultured bacterium. Its description in RNAcentral is "partial 16S ribosomal RNA". It matches the Rfam family "Bacterial small subunit ribosomal RNA", at positions 338 to 795 of the family's 1533-position model. The record is from RNAcentral.
CCUACGGGGGGCAGCAGUGAGGAAUAUUGGUCAAUGGGCGCAAGCCUGAACCAGCCAAGUCGCGUGAGGGAAGACGGCCCUACGGGUUGUAAACCUCUUUUGCCGGGGAGCAAGCCUGAGCACAUGUGCCCAGGCGGAGAGUACCCGGAGACAAAGCAUCGGCUAACUCCGUGCCAGCAGCCGCGGUAAUACGGGGGAUGCGAGGGUUUUCCGGUUUUUUUGGGUUGAAGGGGUGCGAGGGCGGGCUGUUAAGCCGGCGGUAAAAAUUCAGGGCUCAACCCUGGCGUGCCGUCGGAACUGGCAGUCUUGAGUGGGCGAGAAGUAUGCGGAAUGCGUGGUGUAGCGGUGAAAUGCAUAGAUAUCACGCAGAACGCCGAUUGCGAAGGCAGCAUACCGGCGCCCAACUGACGCUGAGGCACGAAAGCGUGGGGAUCGAACAGGAUUAGAUACCCGGGUAGUC